Astatotilapia calliptera (eastern happy) is the source of this 1166-nucleotide long non-coding RNA. NCBI's taxonomy places the organism in Eukaryota, Metazoa, Chordata, Actinopteri, Cichliformes, Cichlidae. The record is from Ensembl.
UUGCACUUCAUUUUUAAUCCUGUUUCUAGCAGGGAUGCACCAAUAUAUCGGUAUAUUUAUAUAAUCCUCGCUGACUGCAACUAGAAGAUGUUUACCAGUGGCUCUGGUUUGUGUUAAAAUGCCCUAAAUUUGAAUGCAAAAUCACAAAAGAUGUUGACAAAUGCAACUCUCCGGAGAGUAGAGUGGGUUUUUUUCCCCCCCAAUUGAUACACCAGUAAAAGCCCUCGCUGUACAUAAUAUGAGCCUGCAUAAGCUAACCUAUGAAGAAAAUUGAGAGGCCUAUAUCUCCAUUCAUACGCCAACGAGAAAUUGGAUUCCUCCCGACUGGCAAUUGUGUCCAAAAAGAAAGAAAAAGAAAAAUCAAAUCAAAUAAAUGGAGCUGCCUAAGGAGAGAAAUUCUCUUGCUGAAAAGCUACACAACAUCAGCGGAGUUUUAAAAAAACAGGGUGGGGAUGGGGGCAUCAUAGAGAUCCGACAAAAUGAGAAGGGGGGGAGCUUUCCAGCAAGGGCACUGAAUUAACCCAUAUUAGUGUAAUACAAUGCAACAGGAAGAAAUAUGUGCCAGCACAAAGUGUUGGGCUCACACUGUGAGGAAAAAAGAAAAAAAAAAAGCACGAUGGAGUGAGUCACUCAGCAGACAAAAGCAUGCAUGAAUUUGUCUCUCACGCCGCCUCUAAUGAGUCAUGUCAGUGGUUUUCAAGGUGAAGGGUUGUGAUCAUUCCCGGGAAAAAUAAAAUAAAAUUAAAGAAAAUUGAUUUAAUUUCUAAGAGCUUAGGAAAAAGAGGGUUAGGGGGGAAAUAAUAGCAGAGAGACAAUUAAGAGCAUAAGAAGUGACAGUGCAGCAGGGCUGUUUCUGUGUCCAUCCCUCACCUGGCGUCAUCUCCCCGCGUUCCCUUACCCGAGGUAACCGAUUCAAUCAAUACAUCAGGCGGCAGCUCGAGUCAAGCUCCAUUUUCCUACCGUGACGGCAGCUCAGGGAAAAGCAAGGGAAGAAUUAUUUUAUUUUCAUACAGGUAUCCCACCGGACGUCGGGUUCAGCCGCUGUUACGUUAAAUGUAACCUAGUUUAUAUUCCGCAAGGAGCGACGUUUAGCUGAAUCAAGACCGAUGAGACACGUGGAAAAACAAAGUGCAAGUUGACAUUGCGGUUUAGUCAUAAAGCAUCGG